Molecule: ribosomal RNA, 497 nt
Filed under: uncultured bacterium
Lineage: Bacteria
Description: partial 16S ribosomal RNA
Rfam family: Bacterial small subunit ribosomal RNA
Source: RNAcentral
GAUGAACGCUGGCGGCGUGCCUAAUACAUGCAAGUCGAGCGAACGGACGAGAAGCUUGCUUCUCUGAUGUUAGCGGCGGAAGGGUGAGUAACACGUGGAUAACCUACCUAUAAGACUGGGAGAACUUCGGGAAACCGUAGCUAAUACCGGAUAAUAUUUUGAACCGCAUGGUUCAAAAGUGAAAGACGGUCUUGCUGGCAUUUAUAGAUGGAACCGCGCUGCAUUAGUUAGUUGGUAAGGUAACGGCUUACCAAGGCAACGAUGCAUAGCCGACCUGAGAGGGUGAUCGGCCACACUGGAACUGAGACACGGUCCAUACUCCUACGGGAGGCAGCAGUAGGGAAUCUUCCGCAACGGGCGAAAGCCUGACGGAGCAACGCCGCGUGAGUGAUGAAGGUCUUCGGAUCGUAAAACUCUGUUAUUAGGGAAGAACAUAUGUGUAAGUAACUGUGCACAUCUUGACGGUACCUAAUCAGAAAGCCACGGCUAACUACGUG